GGGAUCCUUCCAGAAGAAGCAGAAGGCCUCCUUCCUGCCAACACAGCAGCGCCACCCCCUCUCAUGGCCCUCCCCGACGACGCCAUUCACCUCCCCCCGUCCCCCGUAUCGCCUUCGUCAAGUACGCCCCUCCCCCUUCCACCCCAUGACGGAGUGCUCGAUUCCUUCAUCUGAUGGCGCCACCCACCUCCCCCCGCUCUCCUCCGCCGCCGCGGCUGUCGAGGCUCACUUCCAGGCGCACUGGUCCGCGCUCGACGCUGCCGCACGCCAGGACCCGGCGCGGGUCAUCGCCGUGGGGGACUGGCGGUCCCCGCUCGAGCUCCCCUUCCUGUGGCUUGGGGAUGUCCCCUGGUGUCGUCUCCGUCAGGCUGCAAGUCCACCAAUUCGGCCUCAUCUGCGACAACCUCGACGCAGUCAACAAGUUCGAGCCCAAUUACAGGCUUAUCAGAAGGUACACUACUAUUGCUCCUACCCUUUUUUUCCACCCUUUGGCCAACAACGGAAUGUUAUGUCUUCAAUGUUUAAUCCAUACUACCCAAGUCUUUGUAAUUGACAAACUAAACAGUGCACUAAUUGAGUAGACUACGAUACAAGAGUAACCACAUGCUUCUAUUCAACCUGUCUUCAAUUACAUUUGAUGUUAGUUACUAAAGACCAAGUAGACUGAGUCUUUUAGAUUGCACAUUUUUUAACUUUCAUGGAAACGUUUUUAGGAAAACAAAUUAGGUGUGAUUCUUUUUAAAAUUCUAUAACAUCAAAUAAAAAGGAAAAUAGAUUGUAAAUAAAUGCUAUAGUCAAGAACUGAACGUGUCUAAUAGGUUGAUUUCAGUGUUUCAAGCUUUAUCUUAUGUUUAUUGAUUAUAUGAGACCUUGCAAUUGGAAUAUUCCUGCAGAUUGGUAUAUUAUAUGCUCGAGUGGUGAAAACAAAUAAUACCAUGAAUCCCGAUGUCUCAUGCAGAUUGGUAUAUUAAUGCAUGCUUUAAAGAAUAGGAAUAUAUAAGAGAUAAGACUUCUUCGGUUUCCACUACUAUCAUCACCUGACAUUUAAUCAGAAGGCGUAGACAAUUUCUAACUUAUUCAUGUACAUAUUUACUGUUCUGUAACAAUUACUGUCCAUAAGGUAUACUUACUACAUCGAUAAGCUUUGUUGCAGGUAAUUCCCAUUCAUUGUUCUUAUUGAUUAACAUGCUGACACUUAAGCUAAUGUGUUCAGUGUUACGAGGAACAUACUCCAAUAGAAAUCUUCAAGUUUGAAACAGAGAUUUACUACAAUUUGUUUAACCUGAAGAUCUAACAACUCUAUCAAAACCUUUGUUUCUUACAUGCCUACCUGCUUUACAUUGUAGCCUCCCCAUCCACCCACCCACCCACCAAGAGUGAAAAAAUCUAAUUCCGUCAUUUUUAUAAAAAAUGUUAUACUUUUAGUGCUUCCUUUGUUAAGCACCUGAAGUGACAUCUUUAUUUCUUCCAAAAAAAUUGUUGUGUUAUACUCGCAGGCCCCUGUUCCUCUAUCCAUGUUUUGAACAUACUUCAUUUCCCGGUUAUACAAAAAAAUCUUUCAAUGCAUUUUUUGGUGAACACGAACAUAUUUACAGAAAUUUGUUUUAAUGAGUGUUGUCUUAUGUUAUUUCCAUGUGGCAAUACUUCAGUUUUUCUCUUUGUCACCACCUUAACGUGUACUACUACAGUGUUUACAACUAUAGAUUCGUCAAGUAUUGCCCUAAUUAAGUUACAUUUUAAGAUAUUAUAAUCCCAUUAAACUGUCUAGGUUUCUCUUACCAAUUUAAUAGUUAAAGAAAUUUUAUGAUGCAUUGUAUUUGUAGAAGUAAAUGUUCGUAUGCUAUUCUUUUAAUAGCCGAUAAAAUUUAUGCAAUUAACUUUAAUAGUCAAGAAAAAUGUUAUGUUCCAUUCUAUCAAUAGAAUUAACUGUAUACUGAUUGUUUAAAAUCAACAAAAUCUAUCUAGCAUAUAUUCAAAUGUUUUUUCCAUCAAAAUCUGAAAUGUCAGUGUUACCUAGAUUUAGCUUAGCAAUUGGUUUAGCACUCUAAUUAUAUACCUUUUUCUGUCGUAGAUAUAUAUCUUCUUCAACGAUGUUAUUCACUACGGGUCCACUUCUAGAAGGUAUGUAUCUGAGAAAUAUUUUCCCCAUCGCAAGGUAAAUAAUAGUUAUACAUCUACCAAGUUUCAGAUGUAGUCUUAUUCCUUUUUUAGUUUUUAUCGUUAAUUUUUAUUGCACUAAUGAUGUGUUACCUCUUAAGAUAUUUGUCAAACCAAUAAUUUUGAAUGACAUUUAUCUUGGUACUUUGUCAAAUCUAUAAACUUGGGAGUUAGGAUCACAUCUGUUCCUAUAAACCAAGUUCAAAGAUUGUUAUUUUAUUUUGAAGAUCACAACUCACUGUAAUUGUUCAUGAUAAUUAUUUGUAAACUGAAAAUCCAAUUAUCUCGCUAUCAAACACCUUCAAAGAAAUAAAUUAUUCUCGCGCGCAGGGCGCGCGUUACCUACUAGUUCUGAUAAAAAAGAAUGUGCCCCUGCGCUGCGCUGCCCAAUGUCCUCCACCCGCAUUCCCCGUUCAGCUAAACCCUACCCGUCUCCGGCGCCGCUUAGAUCCAUCACAGACGACGCUCGCCGGUCCUGAGGAGAGAUGGCCGACCCGAACUCGCAGCCCCUCGCCGCCGCUACGGCGGAUGUUUCUGCAACCUAACAUCAAGCUGCGAUGACCGCGCCGCAAUCGCACCGAGGCGCUGCGGUGGCGGCGGCGAAGCAGGGAGCAUGCGCAAGCGCAACCAUGGUUGUGCCGUCGUCCCCGCAAGGCGCUCCCGGGUUCGCGGUGGUGUCUCAAGAGGCCGAGGACGUGGCGGCUUUAUCGUCCCCUCUAGGUCCUCCCGGGUUUUGGGUGGUGCCUCAGCAGGUAGCGGUCGCGCCACAGCAAGGUGCUCCGGUAAUGGCGCCGCCACAGGGUGCAACCAUGGUGCCUCCGCAACAGCAGCAUUUCGCGCCUGAGAUGGUGCCUGGCUCCUAGGAAGUCAUGCACAUGCUCGUUCAAGCUACGCCCAUGGGCAUGAUGAUGGCCUCGAUGCCCCUGCAAGCCCAGGCUAUGGUUGAUCACCAACCUGCUCAAGGUAUGGCGCCAUCCGUCCAUGAUGGAGGCGCAGCAAGCUCAACCUGGACACACGACGCAUGACGACACCACAACCUCUGCCACUCGGCCCUUCGUUGACGCAGCAGCAGCCUUCACAAGCUGAUACGAUUAUAAUGGCACAACCGCCUCUGCCUUUCGGCCCUCCACCUGCAAUGCUUCAGCAACAGCCUCCACAUGGGAGUAUGGGACCGCGAUGAUGGUGGCACAAUCACUUCUCACUACCGGAAUCGUGUUCUUUGCCGAGUGUCUAAGAAACUCGGUAAAAGCUAUUUUACACUCGGCAAAGUGUUUUUUUGCUGAAUACUUUUUUCGGUUUGCCGAGUGUCAAAAAACACUCGGCAAAUUAAGAAUCGAAAAAAUAAAAAAAAACAGCAAAACAUUUUUUAAAAUUCUAGGAACAACUCUCCAACACUGUCUAUUAUCAAUUGCUCUAUCAUUUUUCACUAUUAUUUUGAAUCAAAAUUUAUAUGUUUUAUAAAUGAUGAGAUUCGAACUUUCAACCUCUCUCUCUCGCGCAUACACUCCUAUACCACUACACUACUACACAAAUUAUGUCUAUAUUACGAUUUCAUUUCCCAUGUACUAUAACAAAUCGAGAGUAAUUUGACUAUUUAAGGCACUAAAUGAGUUCAUUUAAAAAUGUGACCAACUAUAAAGUUGCAUAACUUUUUGAGAUCUACAAGUUUUAUUUUAAUAGUUUCUACAUCCGAGACCGUUUACAAAAUUUGAAUUUUAAAUUUGAAAACUUCACACGAAUUUUUCAAAGAUAAGAUGAUUUCAAAUCAAAAAAAAUUGUCAACUACAGAGUUUCAUUAUAUUUCAAGACCUACAACUUUUAUUUUGGUGGUUUUUUCAUCCGAGAUGGUUUGAAAAAUUCAAAUUUCAAAAUUCAAACAUAGUUUUGUAUAACAAGAUGAUUUCAAAACAAAACAUUGUCAACUACAAAGUUUCAUAACACUUCAAUGCCUACAACUUUCAUGUUGGUGGUUGUUUCUUUCGAAGUCGUUUUCAAAAUUCAAAUUUUAUUUUUUUAAAUUCAGACGUAGUUUUCGUUGACAAUAUGACUUCAAAUAUAAAAGUUGUCAACUAUAAACUUCUAUAACUUCUUAAGAUCUACAAAGUUUAUUUUGGUUGUUUGGUCAUUUGUUUAUCUCACAUGAUGGUUCUAACAAUAUGCACAAAUUCUAUACGCCUCUCUCGUAGUUUCAUAAACUACGAGAGAGAUACGUUUUAUGAACAAAUUUAUUUUUAUUUUGUCAUAUGAAGAAAUGUUCAAUAUAUAAAUUGUACAUCAUGAUGAGUUAUACAAAUUUAUAGUUGAAAACCUUUUCAUUUGAAUUAAUUUACUAUUUAAAAAUGUGAUUUUUAAAUUGUUUUUGCCUAGUGUUGGAGAAAAAACACUCGGCAAAGAGCUCUUUGCCGAGUGUUGUAUUUGUGACACUCGCCAAAGAGCCUGCCAAGUGUCAAAAAAAGACACUCGGCAAAGAAAUUCUUUGCUGAGUGUCAAAAAUAAAACACUCGGCAAAAAGUUUCUUUGUCGAGUGUUUUCUUUUACCGAGGGUUUUUUGCGUGGCACUCGGCAAAUAACUUCUUUGCCGAGUGCCCGAAAAAAGCACUCGGCAAAGAAUAUGACAAUCGGCAAAGAGCCAAAUUAUGCCCUCCAUUAGUGAUGCUGCAACACAAUCCACAGGGCAACCAGGUGAUGGUGGCACAGCCGCAAUUCGUUGCGUCUUGACCAAUAUGGUUUGUGAUCAACUUCUAGUUAUGCCUGAUUACUAUUUUAUUUACGUGAUAUCAGUCCCAUAUGUAUGAUUAACAAAAGUUCUACCAUAUAUAGAUGUAUUCAAGCUGGUGUAGACUAGGACUAGAUUUUUACAUUUAUUUGUUGUAUAAAUCUAGAAGAAUAGAAGAUAAGCCAUAUCAAAACCAUAGGCAGUGUCUGACUGGCUUGUGUCAUUUGUGCAAGACGACAGGAGCUUUUACGAUUGAGGUUCUUAUAUGGGCUGAUUGGACCAGCUGCCC
Zea mays is the source of this 5162-nucleotide RNA transcript. It is a transcript of the gene named dormancy control protein - ribosome protein S24 pseudogene, with no coding region annotated. The record is from RefSeq and is marked validated. The transcript is spliced from 2 exons. NCBI's taxonomy places the organism in Eukaryota, Viridiplantae, Streptophyta, Magnoliopsida, Poales, Poaceae.